GAUGAACGCUGGCGGCGUGCCUAAUACAUGCAAGUCGAGCGAACAGACAAGGAGCUUGCUCCUUUGACGUUAGCGGCGGACGGGUGAGUAACACGUGGGUAACCUACCUAUAAGACUGGGAUAACUUCGGGAAACCGGAGCUAAUACCGGAUAAUAUUUCGAACCGCAUGGUUCGAUAGUGAAAGAUGGUUUUGCUAUCACUUAUAGAUGGACCCGCGCCGUAUUAGCUAGUUGGUAAGGUAACGGCUUACCAAGGCGACGAUACGUAGCCGACCUGAGAGGGUGAUCGGCCACACUGGAACUGAGACACGGUCCAGACUCCUACGGGAGGCAGCAGUAGGGAAUCUUCCGCAAUGGGCGAAAGCCUGACGGAGCAACGCCGCGUGAGUGAUGAAGGUCUUCGGAUCGUAAAACUCUGUUAUUAGGGAAGAACAUACGUGUAAGUAACUAUGCACGUCUUGACGGUACCUAAUCAGAAAGCCACGGCUAACUACGUGCCAGCAGCCGCGGUAGUACGUAGGUGGCAAGCGUUAUCCGGAAUUAUUGGGCGUAAAGCGCGCGUAGGCGGUUUUUUAAGUCUGAUGUGAAAGCCCACGGCUCAACCGUGGAGGGUCAUUGGAAACUGGAAAACUUGAGUGCAGAAGAGGAAAGUGGAAUUCCAUGUGUAGCGGUGAAAUGCGCAGAGAUGUGGAGGAACACCAGUGGCGAAGGCGACUUUCUGGUCUGUAACUGACGCUGAUGUGCGAAAGCGUGGGGAUCAAACAGGAUUAGAUACCCUGGUAGUCCACGCCGUAAACGAUGAGUGCUAAGUGUUAGGGGGUUUCCGCCCCUUAGUGCUGCAGCUAACGCAUUAAGCACUCCGCCUGGGGAGUACGACCGCAAGGUUGAAACUCAAAGGAAUUGACGGGGACCCGCACAAGCGGUGGAGCAUGUGGUUUAAUUCGAAGCAACGCGAAGAACCUUACCAAAUCUUGACAUCCUUUGACUCUUCUAGAGAUAGAAGUUUCCCCUUCGGGGGACAAAGUGACAGGUGGUGCAUGGUUGUCGUCAGCUCGUGUCGUGAGAUGUUGGGUUAAGUCCCGCAACGAGCGCAACCCUUAAGCUUAGUUGCCAUCAUUAAGUUGGGCACUCUAAGUUGACUGCCGGUGACAAACCGGAGGAAGGUGGGGAUGACGUCAAAUCAUCAUGCCCCUUAUGAUUUGGGCUACACACGUGCUACAAUGGACAAUACAAAGGGCAGCGAAACCGCGAGGUCAAGCAAAUCCCAUAAAGUUGUUCUCAGUUCGGAUUGUAGUCUGCAACUCGACUACAUGAAGCUGGAAUCGCUAGUAAUCGUAGAUCAGCAUGCUACGGUGAAUACGUUCCCGGGUCU
RNAcentral lists this ribosomal RNA (1372 nucleotides) under uncultured bacterium. RNAcentral describes it as "bacterial SSU rRNA". It matches the Rfam family "Bacterial small subunit ribosomal RNA", at positions 28 to 1381 of the family's 1533-position model. The record is from RNAcentral.